GACGAACCGUGCGAACGUUGUUCGGAAUCACUGGGCUUAAAGGGCGCGUAGGCGGGCGACAAAGUCCGGGGUGAAAUCCUUCGGCUUAACCGAAGAAUUGCCUUGGAUACUGGUCGUCUUGAGGGAGGUAGGGGCAUGUGGAACUUCCGGUGGAGCGGUGAAAUGCGUUGAUAUCGGAAGGAACGGCGGUGGCGAAAGCGACGUGCUGGAUCUCUUCUGACGCUGAGGCGCGAAAGCUAGGGGAGCAAACGGG
Molecule: ribosomal RNA, 253 nt
Filed under: uncultured bacterium
Lineage: Bacteria
Description: partial 16S ribosomal RNA
Rfam family: Bacterial small subunit ribosomal RNA
Source: RNAcentral